Molecule: ribosomal RNA, 220 nt
Filed under: Micropygomyia cayennensis
Lineage: Eukaryota; Metazoa; Arthropoda; Insecta; Diptera; Psychodidae
Description: partial 16S ribosomal RNA
Source: RNAcentral
GAUCUUUAUAAAAAGAUAGUUUAAUAAAAAUUAGUUAAAAUUAUUUUUAAAUUAUUUUUUUAUUAUAUUGGGGUAAUAAUAAAAUUUUUAAAAUUUUUAUUUUUUAAAAACAAUUAUAAUUGAGAGAUAAAUGAUCCAAUAAUAUUGAUUAAGAAAUUAAGUUACCUUAGGGAUAACAGCAUAAUGAUUUUUGAGAGUUCUUAUUGAUAAAAUAGUUUGU